Molecule: long non-coding RNA, 4391 nt
Organism: Silurus meridionalis
Lineage: Eukaryota; Metazoa; Chordata; Actinopteri; Siluriformes; Siluridae
Exons: 3
Source: RefSeq, a predicted model, not a curated record
CACUAUAGAAAUAAACUUUACUUCACUUCACUUGAUCUGACCUGAAGAUCUUCCUUGACAAGUGUCAGUUUGGUGGGACUUCGGUGAACUACGUAGGGCACAUUGUGUUACACAAUGGAAUAUCCACUGAACCUUCUAAAAUCGAUGCUGUUGUAUCCUGGCCUCAGCCCCAGACUGUGACAGAGCUCACAUCUUUUCUAGCGUACUGUGGGUAUUAUAAGCAUUUCGUGAAGGAUUUCUUGAAGUUGUGUCGAAUUGUUCCUCUGCAGGUACUGCAAAUAAUAUAAACAAAAAUCCACCUGCCAAGGGGCGUAAGGGCUCUUUGUCAGACUUUGUCUGCAAAAAGGAGAAUGGGGAAUGUCUCUUACCCUUGUGUGAUACAACAGGCCAGGGCACAUACGUAUGUCGGCUGUUCCUAAAGCGUACUCUCAUGCUAAUGAAGUAGCUGCAAAUCACUUAUCUGUGCUUAGUCGAAGUGAACUUCAAACGGCCCAGAGGAAUAAUGGAGUGUGGAAGGCUAUUUGUGAUAAGAAACCUUAGAGUAACAUCCAGAAGAAACACAUGAAGUGUGAUGUAGAUGUAAGAUAUGCGAACGCUGCAUCAAGAGGAAGACUUUGCCCCAAAGAGCUGCUCUAUUGUCUCACAUGCAUAGUUCAGGACCUAUGGACCUGGUAUGUAUUGAUUUUCUCUCCAUCGAAGCCGAUUCUCAGAAUGUGUGUAAUGUAUUGAUGGUUACUGACCAUUACACACGUUACGCGCAAGCUUUUCCCCCGAGAAACCAGAAAGCUUCUACAGUGGCAAAGACUUUGUGGGAAUAGUAUUUAAUAAAUUAAUUAAUCUGACAUGCUGACUAUGCUAGGCGGGAUGAAAUCUAGAACCUCACCUUAUUACCCACAAGGUGAUUCCAGCCUGAACGAUUUAACAGGACCUUGUUGAACAUGCUGGGUACCCUUAAGCCUAGUCAGAAAAUAAAAUGGAGUCAGCACAUAGCGCAUCUGGUACAUGCGUAUAACUGUACUUCGAACAAAGCUACUGGUUACUCUCUUUAUUUUUUGAUGUUCAGCAGAGAGGCUAGAUUACUUGUUGAUAUUUGUUUUGGUAUCUCUGCUGAUAAUACAUCACCUGUGUCGUACUUGAAGUAUGUGUCCAAGAUGAAGCAGGAAUUACAGACAGCUCAUCAGCUAGCUCAGGCUGAGAAGCUAAAUCAGAUUAAUAAAGCAAGGUAUGAUCAGAAAAUUCACUACCAUAGUUUGAAUGUGGGUUAACGGCUUACUGUGAGGCUGUAAUUCUUCAGAUUCAGAGUGUGUGUAGGGGCUAAAUCUUUACUUGAAGCCCGCAGUGAUUGCUAGACUGGGCACUUUAUUGACGCGCAUUUGUUGUCCAUACAUACGAAGAGAAGUUCGGAUUUAUUCACGAUUGAUUCUUUAUUCUCACCAUAUUGUUGCAAUAAUCCAUAAAGAUACACAUAUAUCCACAAAUAAGGUACAAAACACACAAUAGGUGCCAAGGUUACCCAAUGUAACACACAUUCAGUGAUCUCUUCAAAGCGGUCAAAAAUCUAUGUGUGCUCCCCCUCCGUCAAGCAACACCUGAUGCCCACAUAAGCGUUCCUACACUGUAAACCCUAGUUCUGUCAUUACUUAAAUAAUCAAGUAAUCUUGAGUUGACACUACUUGAAAUUUUGUAUUUUCUAACCCUAACUCAAAAAUAUAAGUUAGAUUAACUUACUUAGCUCCAAAAUACUUCAACUUAAAAUUUUGACUGUUAUGAACUCAAAAUCCUGAUUCAUAAAAAUAGCCACUCUGGUCUCCUUUCAUGGUGAUUGGUUAUUUAAGGACUUCUGCCUGGCAACAAGAGAACUAAUGCAGUGAUUGGUAGAAUAAUCCUAUAGGCGGUCCUUAAUGCCUGUUGCUGAGGCCGGAAAAUUCUGGAAUUGUUCUUCUCGUCUUUCGCCAUUUUAAACUCGUCAGCCCAGCCAACUGAGGUCCGAACCCUUGUGCUGCGAGGACUGCCUGUCCUGCUCGGGGAUGAUGAGUCUGCUUUUUUUAAGUCAUGUUUGGUGUCUGAUCAUCGCAAUUCUAUCCUUGAUGUGCCAGUGGGGAUCUUAUUUGAGCACACCGAUCUUCAGCCCCCCAACUCCUUGCAUUUCAAUUCCUCGAUUAGCAUAAUUCUUGAAGGUCAAAUGGUGAUGGACAAGAUGCUGGACCUCACACAAGCAAUGUGUGUCCUCUUUGGGCUAAUUUAUGCGUUAGACCUGAAUUACCCCAAAUCCCUUGCAAACACUUUUGAUUUUAUAGCCCAAAGUACAGUCUUUGGCAAACCAGCUUUACUGUUAAAAAUGUUUAGUUGUUUAUGUGCACAAAGUUGCAGCAGUGAUGUUGUGCAGAAGUUAAGGUGAUGUUAAUUCUGAUGGUUUUUUUUAUUUACACUGAAAUUUAAUUCAUUUAUCUGUACAUUUUUGUAGAGUGUGGCUGUGACCAGUUGUGUUUUAUUUAUUGAAAUUUAAAUGUUUUAACGUAUAAACAAUACAUGUUCAAUGUUCAAUAUGAUGUUCAAUGUGUUUUUUGGACUGAAUAAAGAUUUAACAGUCAAAAGAACAAUAAUAUUAGUCAAUUCAAUUUAUAAUCAUUUGCAAUUUCAGUUUAAUUGUUAAGUUGACUUGAAUAUGUAAGUAAGUGAACUUAAUAGUUUAAGAGCAAAUUAUAAAACACCAAGUUAGAUGAACUUAACAAUUUAAGUACAGUCUACAUGAGCACCAAGUUAAGUGAACUUAACAAUUUAAGUACAGUCUACAUGAGCACCAAGUUAAGUGAACUUAAAUAAACAAGUUAAAGAAAAUCCAUUACUCAAUUCAAUUGAGUAAACGAGUUUACUCAAUAGGUUGAGUUCAUUGAACUUAUUAGGGUUUUCAGUGUACCUAUAUUACGUGAACCCAGGUAGGUUAGCGUGACACCUAUUGUCCCAAUUAAAAACAAACAAUAAAAAACAUGAAACCAGAUGGCUCCCACAGUGUGAGUUUGGGUUUCAUGCUGAUGAUGUUGCAAACAUUUCUUCUCAAGUGAAUGAGGAGAUACAGAACAAAACCCCUGUAGAAUGCUGUAGAGUCUGGUGAUGCUCGCAGUGUUUUAGAAAUACCAGUAAUUCCAUGUCAGAGUGAAGUUCUCGAUGUUCAGCUAGAAGCUGAAGAUAGAAAUACUGAGGUAGAUGUUACUCUGUAUGUGCCGACAGCUAGAGGCAUUUACAUUAGCAAAAAGUGACUGCAUUGAUGAAGUUCAUCGUGGACUCAUGGUGCUGAGUUUGUUCUUGACUGGACACAUCUGGUUUCAUCGUUGGACUUUGAUCGAUGAGUUUACGACGUGUGCCAGGGACUGAUCGAGACCGAAAGCUGUGCAUUUAUGCCAUGAGUGUUUUCAAUGUUGGCUCGUUAUCAUCGGAUGGCUGUAAGUUAAUACAUUUUCAUGACUCGUCAGCUGUGAAUGUGCACCAACGAACUGGGCCCCAACGAGUUACAUUGCAAACAUUUGCAUAAAGGACUGGCAGAGACAUUAUAAAGUGUGGAUCACGGGUUUCUUUCUAAAAAUUCAUGUCAGGCUUUUGAUAUUUCCUUCUGGUUUCUAAAGUGUGUUUCUAAACUAUGGCAAGGUUGUGAAUUCUCAGCUCAUUUGUUGAAAUAUAAAUAGGAUCUGUUUCACAUAACUCAGUUUUAUAGUGAUUGUUAAGUGAUAUAUUUGUAUAAGGGAAAAAGAAAGUAAUUUACAACUGUUUGAAAUUUAAAACACCGCAAAUUCACCAUUUAACUGCCGGGAACCUAGGUUUUUUGCUUUAGACAGCAUUUAAAUAAACCCCUAAGAAGUGGGUUAUAUAUUGAUUGCAGUUCCAAGAGCCAGUGGAUCACCUGUGAAAAAAUUUUAUGUCAGAGAAGACAACAAGAGCAGAGAUAGGCAUCAUCCAGUAUGUUUUGGAAAUGAGAGACUGCAUAGAGAGAAACAGAAAGAUGGCCCAGAAGAACCUCCAGCAGGCACAAAAAAGUCUAAAAGACCUGGUGCAGUCAAUAGACCAGUCCUGAGAACUUUAACCAAGACAGAAGGUACUCUUGCUGCUCCUGGCAUCCACUAACAAUCUUCUCAUUUCCCUUCUUCUCGUAACCCUUUAUCACACUUGAGAAAAGCAUCCAGACCAUAUACAGCAUUUCGGAUCUGGCUGUGACUUUUCCAGUUCAUGGUCCUACCGUUUGGCCUACAUAGGGUGCUUGCAGUCAUUCAAAGGCUAAUGGACCAAGUCUUUAGAGCAGGGGUGGUCAGAGACAGAGAGACACAUUUUUUUACUGUGUUACCGCAAAGAGCCACAUCAUACACAUGGGCACACAUGAACAUCACCCAUCCCUUCCUCUU